This 489-nucleotide ribosomal RNA is filed under the name uncultured bacterium. RNAcentral describes it as "partial 16S ribosomal RNA". It matches the Rfam family "Bacterial small subunit ribosomal RNA", at positions 29 to 504 of the family's 1533-position model. The record is from RNAcentral.
AGUGAACACUGGCGGUAGGCCUAACACAUGCAAGUCGAACGGCAGCACAGUAAGAGCUUGCUCUUACGGGUGGCGAGUGGCGGACGGGUGAGGAAUACAUCGGAAUCUACUUUUUCGUGGGGGAUAACGUAGGGAAACUUACGCUAAUACCGCAUACGACCUACGGGUGAAAGCAGGGGAUCUUCGGACCUUGCGCGAUUGAAUGAGCCGAUGUCGGAUUAGCUAGUUGGCGGGGUAAAGGCCCACCAAGCCGACGAUCCGUAGCUGGUCUGAGAGGAUGAUCAGCCACACUGGAACUGAGACACGGUCCAGACUCCUACGGGAGGCAGCAGUGGGGAAUAGUGGACAAUGGGCGCAAGCCUGAUCCAGCCAUACCGCGUGGGUGAAGAAGGCCUGCGGGUUGUAAAGCCCUUUUGUUGGGAAAGAAAAGCAGCAGGUUAAUACCCCGCUGUUCUGACGGUACCCAAAGAAUAAGCACCGGCUAACUUC